Molecule: transfer RNA, 74 nt
Filed under: Vibrio alginolyticus
Lineage: Bacteria; Pseudomonadati; Pseudomonadota; Gammaproteobacteria; Vibrionales; Vibrionaceae
Also listed under: 13 other names
Description: tRNA-Gly
Rfam family: tRNA
About the family: Transfer RNA (tRNA) molecules are approximately 80 nucleotides in length.
Source: RNAcentral
GACACUAGCUCAGUUGGUAGAGCGCAACCUUGCCAAGGUUGAGGUCACGAGUUCGAACCUCGUGUGUCGCUCCA